CAGUCGCCGCGGGAAUACGGAGGGAGCUAGCGUUGUUCGGAAUCACUGGGCGUAAAGCGCACGUAGGCGGCUAUUCAAGUCAGGGGUGAAAGCCCGGGGCUCAACCCCGGAACUGCCUUUGAAACUAGAUAGCUUGAAUCUUGGAGAGGCGAGUGGAAUUCCGAGUGUAGAGGUGAAAUUCGUAGAUAUUCGGAAGAACACCAGUGGCGAAGGCGACUCGCUGGACAAGUAUUGACGCUGAGGUGCGAAAGCGUGGGGAGCAAACAGGAUUAGAUACCCGCGUAGUCCCUGUCUCUUAUAC
RNAcentral lists this ribosomal RNA (301 nucleotides) under uncultured bacterium. RNAcentral describes it as "partial 16S ribosomal RNA". It matches the Rfam family "Bacterial small subunit ribosomal RNA", at positions 509 to 807 of the family's 1533-position model. The record is from RNAcentral.